UGGGGAAUCUUGCGCAAUGGGCGAAAGCCUGACGCAGCCAUGCCGCGUGAUUGAUGAAGGUCUUAGGAUUGUAAAAUUCUUUCACCGGGGACGAUAAUGACGGUACCCGGAGAAGAAGCCCCGGCUAACUUCGUGCCAGCAGCCGCGGUAAUACGAAGGGGGCUAGCGUUGCUCGGAAUUACUGGGCGUAAAGGGAGCGUAGGCGGACUGUUAAGUUAGAGGUGAAAGCCCAGGGCUCAACCUUGGAAUUGCCUUUGAUACGGGCAGUCUUGAGUACGGAAGAGGUAUGUGGAACUCCGAGUGUAGAGGUGAAAUUCGUAGAUAUUCGGAAGAACACCAGUGGCGAAGGCGACAUACUGGUCCGUUACUGACGCUGAGGCUCGAAAGCGUGGGGAGCAAACA
RNAcentral lists this ribosomal RNA (402 nucleotides) under uncultured bacterium. RNAcentral's name for it is "partial 16S ribosomal RNA". It matches the Rfam family "Bacterial small subunit ribosomal RNA", at positions 355 to 774 of the family's 1533-position model. The record is from RNAcentral.